RNAcentral lists this ribosomal RNA (601 nucleotides) under uncultured bacterium. RNAcentral describes it as "bacterial SSU rRNA". It matches the Rfam family "Bacterial small subunit ribosomal RNA", at positions 41 to 656 of the family's 1533-position model. The record is from RNAcentral.
GGCGUGCUUACACAUGCAAGUCNNAACGAGAACGGCCCUAGCUUGCUAGGGUGUCAGCUAAGUGGCGCACGGGUGAGUAAUGUAUAGUUAAUCUGCCCCUUGGAGAGGGAUAACGUUUGGAAACGGACGCUAAUACCUCAUACUCCUGAUACUGUAGUGGUAUCAGGGAAACGUCUUUUCGCCAAGGGAUGAGACUAUAUGGCAUCAGGUAGUUGGUGGGGUAAUGGCCCACCAAGCCAAUGACGCCUAGCUGGUCUGAGAGGAUGAUCAGCCACACUGGUACUGAGACACGGACCAGACUCCUACGGGAGGCAGCAGUGGGGAAUAUUGCACAAUGGAGGAAACUCUGAUGCAGCAACGCCGCGUGGAGGAUGACGCAUUUCGGUGUGUAAACUCCUUUUAUAUAGGAAGAUAAUGACGGUACUAUAUGAAUAAGCACCGGCUAACUCCGUGCCAGCAGCCGCGGUAAUACGGAGGGUGCAAGCGUUACUCGGAAUCACUGGGCGUAACNCGCGCGCAGGCGGNUUGAUAAGUUGGAUGUGAAAUCCUAUGGCUCCANCAUAGAACUGCAUCCAAAAUGUCAAACUAAANUCUGGGAAAG